Molecule: ribosomal RNA, 759 nt
Filed under: Escherichia coli
Lineage: Bacteria; Pseudomonadati; Pseudomonadota; Gammaproteobacteria; Enterobacterales; Enterobacteriaceae
Description: partial 23S ribosomal RNA
Rfam family: Bacterial large subunit ribosomal RNA
Source: RNAcentral
GUACACAAAAAUGCACAUGCUGUGAGCUCGAUGAGUAGGGCGGGACACGUGGUAUCCUGUCUGAAUAUGGGGGGACCAUCCUCCAAGGCUAAAUACUCCUGACUGACCGAUAGUGAACCAGUACCGUGAGGGAAAGGCGAAAAGAACCCCGGCGAGGGGAGUGAAAAAGAACCUGAAACCGUGUACGUACAAGCAGUGGGAGCACGCUUAGGCGUGUGACUGCGUACCUUUUGUAUAAUGGGUCAGCGACUUAUAUUCUGUAGCAAGGUUAACCGAAUAGGGGAGCCGAAGGGAAACCGAGUCUUAACUGGGCGUUAAGUUGCAGGGUAUAGACCCGAAACCCGGUGAUCUAGCCAUGGGCAGGUUGAAGGUUGGGUAACACUAACUGGAGGACCGAACCGACUAAUGUUGAAAAAUUAGCGGAUGACUUGUGGCUGGGGGUGAAAGGCCAAUCAAACCGGGAGAUAGCUGGUUCUCCCCGAAAGCUAUUUAGGUAGCGCCUCGUGAAUUCAUCUCCGGGGGUAGAGCACUGUUUCGGCAAGGGGGUCAUCCCGACUUACCAACCCGAUGCAAACUGCGAAUACCGGAGAAUGUUAUCACGGGAGACACACGGCGGGUGCUAACGUCCGUCGUGAAGAGGGAAACAACCCAGACCGCCAGCUAAGGUCCCAAAGUCAUGGUUAAGUGGGAAACGAUGUGGGAAGGCCCAGACAGCCAGGAUGUUGGCUUAGAAGCAGCCAUCAUUUAAAGAAAGCGUAA